CGCUUUCUCGAAUCCAGCACACAUUGUGCACGCUUAAACUCUAGGAUCAUGAGCCUACAGAAAAAGGAACCACGGACGCACAGGGAGGAGGCUGAUGCACGCACGGGGCCCACCCUUGGCCAAUGGCAGCUCCUGGAUCUCCCAUCAACGCGAGCUCCAGGAUUCAGCUCGAGCUGCGGCCGGGGCCGGGACAGAGGUCCACCUACAGUAGGCCCCAGCCAUGCAGCGGCAGGCGGGAGGAAGAGGAGUAGGGUGUAUCUGUACGCAAUGCAAGUCUUUUCUGCAAGCGGACAUUGGGAUGGGGUCUAAGGAGAUGGUUUGCUGCAUGCUGUCGUGCGGCUGUGUUGCAACUGAGCCUCUCCUUUUAAAAGCAAACAAACCCUACCGCUAUUUGCAAGUUACUGAAUUAGUUCAAGAAAACUGGCCGGGAGGUCGGCAGAGCCAUUUGCACUGGGUGGGGGAAAGUUCCUCUCUGAAAUGUAUUAAAUCUGCUGAGUUCUGAAAUCAAAUGCAACAAAACAUGAUUCUAAUUCGAACUGUGCCUGCCCUCCGAACUAUUGGAAAAUCUGAAGGUGGGGGUGGAUUAUCAUUACAGCCAUCGAAUUCCUGGCUACAACAUCUUCAACUUCUGCAGCGCCCCAAAAAUAGUCCUGGUGUCAUCCUUGCAAGACGUUGUGUCUGUUAACUAGCUCUGGACAUUUUUGCAGGAUAACCCUGAUAUCGACAACUCCUAAAAUACAAUCUGCUAAACUUAAUUUAAAAAAAAAUCUCCGAAGAGGGCGUGAGAAAUAGAAAGCCACCAGUCAAUUGUGUGUAGCUCUGAAUCAUAGAACCACAGGGUUAGAAGGGACCGCAAAGAUCAACUAGCCUAACCCCCAACUACCCUUGAUGAUGGAGGCUUGUGUAAUUAACAGCAGACAGCAAAAGCAUUGCAUCAUGUAUUGGAAGCUUGAGAGCUCUUGAUAUUGCAACAUCAAAAAAAAAAAGCAGUUGAUAAUUUUUGGAACUUUAUAAUUAUUUUAAUAGUACAGUGUGGCCCUUUAGCUGAGUAAAGACUGCUGGGGUAUCAUGAUUACCCCCAAAUAUUUAAUACUAUUAAGUGGACGAGAUUAGAACUUGAAAGAUCUACCAGACUAUAGUGUUAACUAAAAUUGGUGAAUAAAGAUGGUAGCUACUGGUUAGCAUAAACUUCUGUUAUUUAGUGAGGGGCUUUUUUUAGAUGGUUCCUAUUAGCAAAUCAUCAAAUGAUGAAAUAUUGUCUUCAGAUUAAAUUAAACCAUCUAUGUUUUAUCCUUGUCCGCUUGAGAGUGUUGAUAAAAGAAACAUGGCAAAGGAUUGUCUGCUAUGUUAUCAAGAGUUAUCUAAGAAUACUCGCAAUACAUUUCAAGUGGCUAAAGAAGGGUGCAGUGCCACUCAGGUUUGGCCUGUCUGCCCCAAAGGAGAUGGAGGAAGCAUGGGCCAAACCCUUGCGAUGACUCCAUGCACCAGGCUGCAACUUGCUUUGUGGCCUUUUGAAACUGGGGGUAGGGGGCACACUGCUGCCUCCCUAGUGGCCCUGAAUGUUAGAAAUGUUCUGCUUCAGCUGGGAUGGGGGCAAAGCGAGACUAUCCCCCCCCCCCGAAACUGGGACUGUUGGAACAUCUGCAGAUGGGCAGGUGUGCAAUAAUGAUAUUGGAGGUAGAACAUGUUGGGUUUUUGGAAAAGAGGUGGGUCACAUAAGGGGGAAUUUAGAAAACAAUUAGGUUUUUAUACAGCAUGGCAAUAUUAACAUAAAACUGUGAUCAUUAGAGGCCUGAUCCUCCAAAGUGCUGACUACCUUUUUCAAGGUUCUGAGCAUGCUCAACUGCCAUGGACCCCAACCUUCCUAGGUGCUGACCACCAUCUGAGAAGCCCUGGACACUAUUGACUCCAACUCACACCAAAGUCAAUGGGAACUGAGGGCGGUCAGCUCCUCUGAGAGUCAGGACUUCAGGACCCGUUUGCAAGCCCACUGAAGUGAAUAAAAAGCCUCCAAUUGGCUUAAAAUCAGUUCCUUAGAGACUUACCAUGCACUAUAUAGAGCUAAAUCCUCAGCACUUACUCUACAGCCCAUCAUUUGAUGUGUACCAUAAGACAUUUCUUAUUCCAAUAAAAAGAUUGUGUGUGGUGGGGGGAAGCUGUUAGAUAUUGACUGGGUUGGCAUUACCCCUUCCCCCAGUUCUAUCAUUUAUUGCGCAAAAGAUACUUCAAAAAAGGCUGACAAAACACAUUUACUAUGAUACUUUCUUGGUGUGUUCAUUUCUAUUCUUUUAGAAGAAGCUGAAAAUAAGAUUACAGUCUGUGAGCUCAUUGGGGCACCGUAGGCCCUGAUCCCCAAUCUGGGGAUCUAGACACUGCUAUAAUAUAAAUUAUAAAAAAAAUUAAUGAAAGUGGUAUAUAACCCUUAAACAGUAAAAUAAGCCUGCAGAGACAGUAAACUGACAGGCUCAACUGUUUUCGAUUAAAUGAACACACACAUAGGUUUGAUGGAAAUCUGAUUCCAAAAUACUAAUUUAAAAUUACUUAAUUCCUGUGAAUAAUAAAUUUUCAUAUAUGCAGCUUUCUAUCUGUCUUGGAUACUUACAUAGCGCCAUCAGCCUAGUACUGCAUAAUCUUUAAUGUAUUCAUCCUCACCACAACCCUGGAAGGUGAGGAAGUGCUAUUAUCUCAAUUUUAUAGAUGGGGAACUAAAACUAAGAUCCUCAAAGGUAUUUUAGGCUCCUACAGCCCCCUGAAGUCAAGUGACUUGUCCAAAGUCAGAGAGAAGUCUGUGGUAGAGCAGGGAAUUGAACACAGGUCUCAGAAGGCCUAAGCUGGUGUUCUAACCAUUGGUCCCUUCUGCCAUGCUAAAGCUUUCCAUUUUACAUUUUCACUAAUCCAGUCUUUGUUCUUCAACAUAUUGGGGGGAAAGUCCAUUUUGCUCCUGGUUCUAGCUGAUCACUGAAAAAUUCUGCAGAAUUUUCCAAAUGAGCGUAUACUUUUAUGUAUUGCAAGUUAUACAGAAAUAGCAGCUUACAAACAGAUGGGUUCAAACUAAUGACAGGAAUAAAACAGAAAUCAGAGACAGAGAUCCAGAAUAAUCAUUAUUUUCUUUCCUCAUUUGAUUGUAGUUUUUACAAUUUAAUAAAUAGAUUUUCAGUUUAAAUAGUACUUUGAAAACAGGAUUCAUUUUGAAAACUACAACCUACAGAGUUCAUAGUGAAAAUAGUUUUGAUUUAAUAAGUUAAAGAUGCGUUAUUGACAGAAAAUCAUUAUUAUUUUAUUUGUAUUGCAGUAGCACCUAGUCAGAGCUCAGUACCACGAGUUAGGCACUGUACAAAUGCGUACUAAAAAGACAGACCCUUCCCCGUUUGGUGCAAACCAUCAUCAUGCUUGUUAAACUACUAGGCCACAAACAUGGAAGAACAUACGUGUAAAGUAAUAUACAGAAACUUUUUUUAUACAGUCACAUUGUGUUAUUCAACUCUCUCUUCUUUAUGUAAAACCGACAGACACCUUUCUCAAGGGCAAUAAAUGACUCUGCAGUGGUACUGAGUGAUUACAGUCUCCAGUACUGAUGCAUCUUUCUUUCCAAAUCACAGUUCAGCCUAAAUAAUGUGUCACAUAAUUUUGGACCUAAUCCUGAACUCUUUGGUAGUCAUUUUGCUUGAGUAAGGAGUGUAGGAUCAGUCAAAUUUUGAAAAUUCUGUUAUAAUAUGAGAUACCUACUAUAUAUUUUUAUACAUGCACAUUUUUGUGUUUAUGACAAUAUACUCCCCAAACUUAGUCAGUUUGUUUACUUUUGGUACUAUUUUGCUACCACAUGAAAACAGCCCAUUGAGUACAGUGAUUUGUCUUGUGUUCACGUACUACAUACUGAAUCUGAAAUUUAAUAGUUGAGGUGAAAAUAUGGCUUGGAAGAUGUUAAUUGAAUUUAAUAGAAUAAGAUUAACACUCAGCAACUGCAGUAUACUUUAUAGAAAAGUUAUGACUCAGAGAAAAUGGGGGAGUAUAAUGAAAGACUACUCACGACUUUUAUUUAUACCACACUUGGAAUUCUUUCCUCUAUUGUUCUAUGUUGAACUUUUUUUCUCUGUGACCAAUAAAGUUUAAAAUUAAGACGAGACAUAAUAUUUCUCAAACUGCAAUAAUUAGUGAUCUGUUUAAGUACUAUGUUUGUUCCUUGCAUUUUUCUUUAUUAGAAAUAAGUCUGUAAAAUACGAGCAUCCUACUUUUCAGGCAAAAUUUCUCCUAACUUUGUGCAUGGGGACGGUGAUUGGGCAUGAAGAAUCUCAGCAUGCUAAUAUCUGACCUUUCAGUAUUAUUGCUUCUGGUACUGUGUAUGUUGAAAGAUGUCUGUCCGCAAAUCACUCCAAGAACUAGAGAAUGUAUGAGGCCUUUAUUUAUCAAAAUAGUGUAAUCCAUCAUAUGAGGUAGGUGUCCAAAUAAGGGGUAAGAAUGUGUGCCAGUGGAACGCUGAUCACUUUCCUAAGAUGUAAAGAGAACUUAAAAAUAUAAGAGAACAAAAGUUUUGCCAAUAUUUAUCUGUUUUUUCUAUGUUAUCAAAAUACUCCUACAAGCCCAAAUUAAAUCUCCUCUAAAUGUGAAAAUAUUAUACGCAAGUUGUAGAAUUCACUCUAGGGAAGACAGAAACUUUUCUAUGUAUUGAGUUUUACAAAAUCCACUUUUUAUUUUUAAACAUUUUCGCCAAGGAAGCACUAGUGAUUAAAAUGUUAAUACUAAUCUUCAGGUUUGAUUAUUAAAUUCCAAUGUUUACUUGUUGCUUUUUGUGUGCAUAGUGCUUCUGUCAGCAUGUGCUCGAGUCGAAGCAUUUUCUAGGUUUUCUAAACAAGUAAAUUAUAUGAUCAAGUUUAAUUUUUUUUUGCCUCCUGCUCCGCUGUUCAGAAAGUCUAAAGGUUUUGUAUAACAUCUAAUAAAUUCAUUAGCUUUAGCAUCA
Trachemys scripta elegans is the source of this 4954-nucleotide long non-coding RNA. RefSeq lists it as uncharacterized. The record is from RefSeq and is a predicted model, not a curated record. Lineage: Eukaryota; Metazoa; Chordata; Testudines; Emydidae. The transcript is spliced from 2 exons.